RNAcentral lists this ribosomal RNA (270 nucleotides) under uncultured bacterium. RNAcentral's name for it is "partial 16S ribosomal RNA". The record is from RNAcentral.
CUGCUGCCUCCCGUAGGAGUUUGGACCGUGUCUCAGUUCCAAUGUGGGGGACCUUCCUCUCAGAACCCCUACGCAUCGUCGGCUUGGUGGGCCGUUGCCCCACCAACUACCUAAUGCGCCGCAUGCCCAUCCAUGACCGGGGUCGCCCCCUUUGACCGGCAGGGGAUGUCCCCUCCCGGCAUUAUGUUGUAUUAGGCGGGAUUUCUCCCGGUUAUCCAUCUGUCACGGCCAGGUUGCAUACGUGUUACUCACCCGUGCGCCGGUCGCCGG